Molecule: ribosomal RNA, 497 nt
Filed under: uncultured bacterium
Lineage: Bacteria
Description: partial 16S ribosomal RNA
Rfam family: Bacterial small subunit ribosomal RNA
Source: RNAcentral
GAUGAACGCUGGCGGCGUGCCUAAUACAUGCGAGUCGAGCGAACGGACGAGAAGCUUGCUUUUCUGAUGUUAGCGGCGGACGGGUGAGUAACACGUGGAUAACCUACCUAUAAGACUGGGAUAACUUCGGGAAACCGGAGCUAAUACCGGAUAAUAUUUUGAACCGCAUGGUUCAAAAGUGAAAGACGGUCUUGCUGUCACUUAUAGAUGGAUCCGCGCUGCAUUAGCUAGUUGGUAAGGUAACGGCUUACCAAGGCAACGAUGCAUAGCCGACCUGAGAGGGUGAUCGGCCACACUGGAACUGAGACACGGUCCAGACUCCUACGGGAGGCAGCAGUAGGGAAUCUUCCGCAAUGGGCGAAAGCCUGACGGAGCAACGCCGCGUGAGUGAUGAAGGUCUUCGGAUCGUAAAACUCUGUUAUUAGGGAAGAACAUAUGUGUAAGUAACUGUGCACAUCUUGACGGUACCUACUCAGAAAGCCACGGCUAACUACGUG